CACAAGCGGUGGAGUAUGUGGUUUAAUUCGAUGCAACGCGAAGAACUUACCUGGUCUUGACAUCCCGGAGACCCUUAGGAAACUAGGGGGUGCUUCCAUCUGGAAGAAUCUGGAGACAGGUGCUGCAUGGCUGUCGUCAGCUCGUGUCGUGAGAUGUUGGGUUAAGUCCCGCAACGAGCGCAACCCUUGCCUUUUAGUUGCCAGCAGUUCGGCUGGGCACUCUAAAGGGACUGCCGGUGUUAAACCGGAGGAAGGUGGGGAUGACGUCAGGUCCUCAUGGCCUUUAUGACCAGGGCUGCACACGUACUACAAUGGCCGAUACAAAGGGCAGCGACACUGCGAGGUGAAGCCAAUCCCGUAAAAUCGGUCUCAGUCCGGAUUGGAGUCUGCAACUCGACUCCAUGAAGUUGGAAUCGCUAGUAAUCGUGGAUCAGCAUGCCACGGUGAAUACGUUCCCGGGCCUU
RNAcentral lists this ribosomal RNA (464 nucleotides) under uncultured Desulfobulbus sp. RNAcentral describes it as "bacterial SSU rRNA". It matches the Rfam family "Bacterial small subunit ribosomal RNA", at positions 924 to 1382 of the family's 1533-position model. The record is from RNAcentral. Lineage: Bacteria; Pseudomonadati; Thermodesulfobacteriota; Desulfobulbia; Desulfobulbales; Desulfobulbaceae.